This 207-nucleotide ribosomal RNA is filed under the name uncultured bacterium. RNAcentral describes it as "partial 16S ribosomal RNA". It matches the Rfam family "Bacterial small subunit ribosomal RNA", at positions 568 to 774 of the family's 1533-position model. The record is from RNAcentral.
CGUGUAGGCGGCUCAUCAAGUCUGGUGUGAAAAUGCAGGGCCUAACCCUGCAGAUGCGCUGGAAACUGGUGGGCUUGAGUUCCUGAGGGGAAGCUGGAAUUCCAGGUGUAGGAGUGAAAUCUGUAGAUAUCUGGAAGAACACCGGUGGCGAAGGCGAGCUUCUAUCAGAGGACUGACGCUGAGGCGCGAAAGCGUGGGGAGCAAACA